Molecule: ribosomal RNA, 253 nt
Filed under: uncultured bacterium
Lineage: Bacteria
Description: partial 16S ribosomal RNA
Rfam family: Bacterial small subunit ribosomal RNA
Source: RNAcentral
UACGUAGGGCGCAAGCGUUAUCCGGAAUUAUUGGGCGUAAAGAGCUCGUAGGCGGUUUGUCGCGUCUGCCGUGAAAGUCCGGGGCUCAACUCCGGAUCUGCGGUGGGUACGGGCAGACUAGAGUGAUGUAGGGGAGACUGGAAUUCCUGGUGUAGCGGUGAAAUGCGCAGAUAUCAGGAGGAACACCGAUGGCGAAGGCAGGUCUCUGGGUAUUAACUGACGCUGAGGAGCGAAAGCAUGGGGAGCAAACAGG